GACGAACGCUGGCGGCGUGCCUAAUACAUGCAAGUCGAACGAACCGCGACUGAGUGCUUGCACUUGGUCAAGGCGAGUGGCGAACGGGUGAGUAACACGUGGGUAACCUACCUCAUAGUGGGGGAUAACAGUCGGAAACGACUGCUAAUACCGCAUAGGACAUAGGAUCACAUGAUCCAGUGAGGAAAGGUGGCGCAAGCUAUCGCUAAGAGAUGGACCCGCGGUGCAUUAGCUAGUUGGUAGGGUAAAGGCCUACCAAGGCGAUGAUGCAUAGCCGACCUGAGAGGGUGAUCGGCCACAUUGGGACUGAGACACGGCCCAAACUCCUACGGGAGGCAGCAGUAGGGAAUCUUCCGCAAUGGACGCAAGUCUGACGGAGCAACGCCGCGUGAGUGAAGAAGGUCUUCGGAUCGUAAAGCUCUGUUGUUAGAGAAGAACAGCGCAUAGAGUAACUGCUAUGCGUGUGACGGUAUCUAACCAGAAAGCCACGGCUAACUACGUG
This 502-nucleotide ribosomal RNA is filed under the name uncultured bacterium. RNAcentral's name for it is "partial 16S ribosomal RNA". It matches the Rfam family "Bacterial small subunit ribosomal RNA", at positions 28 to 507 of the family's 1533-position model. The record is from RNAcentral.